ACAUGGGCAUGUUUGUGAAUGUAAAGUCCACUGGAAUGUGGCAGCGCUUCGGCGUUCUUUGGGUCAGAGAGGGUGAAAACCCCGUUUACAUUCAUGAGCGUGUCUGUUGUGUGAGCGUGUUAAAGAGUCGGAUUGUUUGGGAAUGCAAUCCAAAACGGGUGGUAAAUUCCAUCCAAGACUAAAUAUUAGCAAGAGACCGAUAGCGAACAAGUACCGUGAGGGAAAGAUGAAAAGCACUCUGAAGAGAGAGUGAAAUAGUACGUGAAAUUGCUGAAAGGGAAACGCUUGAGACGAUUGUUGCUUGCAUUUUAAUCAGUUUCGGCUGCUCUUGAAAUGUAUGGCAAGGCAGCAGCAUUUCCCAGUGGUAUUGACGCCCUUCACGAAUGUAGCAACCGUUUUUUUUNGUGUUAUAACUUGGAGUGUUGCUAUGUUGUUUGGGGGGGAGGACUCCUCCC
This 455-nucleotide ribosomal RNA is filed under the name Catenaria anguillulae. RNAcentral's name for it is "partial large subunit ribosomal RNA". It matches the Rfam family "Eukaryotic large subunit ribosomal RNA", at positions 163 to 607 of the family's 3401-position model. The record is from RNAcentral. Lineage: Eukaryota; Fungi; Blastocladiomycota; Blastocladiomycetes; Blastocladiales; Catenariaceae.